CGUCUGCUGGCAAAUAUGAAACGAUGCUGCAGCAGUCCCUGGGGAUUUUUUGAUGGAAUAAUGUGUUUUGGACUAAAUAUUUUUAAUGGAUUGGAUUGUCUGGACCUUUGAUAAAGUAACAAGACCGUUUUUGUUGGAAUAUAAUCGAUCGGUGGAUUACUAUGAGGCUUCAUAAGUGAGUCGCGUCAAUUUUGCUUGUACUGGUUGGUCUGACAGAAGCGCUGAUUGUACCCGCUGUGGCGAUUGUAUCUUGAAAUGGUUUGCAUUGGUCAAAUUGGGAGGAGUUUAGCUUUCAAACGGAGUAUCACAUGAGUACGAGGUUAACAUAGCUGUUGUGUGCACAUGCCAAAAGCUGCCGCCAGGACCUGACGGCCUGUGGGCGGGCUGUUGGAAUUUUAAACAGGACUGACAGUGACCCUUGCUGCAGCCCAAGCUGCAACAGCACAUGGAUCCUGCAUAAAAUCGGGAGCGUCGCAUUUCAUGCAGCCAAAGGAAACGACCGUCCGCAGCGAGAGGGAGUCAACAGGGCCAGGGAGAGGAGGUCGCGGAGUGGCCCUGUACUGAUCGGUGGCGAUUAGGGCUGUCCCCAGCUAAGGAUUUAAGAAUCAGAACUGUCAAGUCCUGCCCAUAGUGGACUGAUAGUCGAAUCAUAUGUUUUUGUGCACAGCCAUUGCAAGCUGAAGGGUAGGGGGGAAGAAUAACACACUGUAGCACCGCUUUAAUCUUGAGAAGCUGCAGAGCUGAAGUCUCUUUAUCAAAUUGGAUAGUUAGAUCCAAUUUGAUAAAGAAUUGUUUUGGGAGACACACAGGAAUUGUUACAAACAAAUACAGGAAUCUAGGUAGUACUGUCAUUUUAAGGGCGUUAAUGCGGCCCGGCGACAGAAAGUCUGGACUAAGAGUGGGGGCAUCAAGAGAGUCCAAAAACGAUUGCAUUUUAGCUGUAUUCGUAUCUACAUCUGACAAAUAUAGAUUGGAGGAGUAGUUUUUUAAAUUGGCUGUUUAUAAGUUUUGGGUCACCUCUGGUUACACCCGGACCAACAUAAAUCUCUGUAAUUUGGGAAUUACUGGCUGUCUGUCAGAGUUGGUGUGUGAGUAUUCGACCGGCUUUCUCGCCAUGUUUGUAGAAUUUUUGUUUGGUUCUAAGCUAAUCUUUUACUGUCUGAUGAGUAGAAAGAUUAUUAAAUUCCAUUUGUAAUGAGAUAGAAUGAAUUUCUGAAAGGCGUUUAUUGGGUUCAUUAUUACGUGCCACGUAUGAAAUUAUCUGACCUCUAAUGUACGCUUUAUGUGAUUUCCACAAAGUGAGAUGGGAUAUGUCCAGACGGUCAUUUAUUUCAAGAAAAAGUUCUAAUUGUUCAGCAAUAAAUUUUUCAAAUUCGGUA
Micropterus dolomieu (smallmouth bass) is the source of this 1379-nucleotide long non-coding RNA. RefSeq lists it as uncharacterized. The record is from RefSeq and is a predicted model, not a curated record. NCBI's taxonomy places the organism in Eukaryota, Metazoa, Chordata, Actinopteri, Centrarchiformes, Centrarchidae. The transcript has 2 exons.